RNAcentral lists this non-coding RNA (29 nucleotides) under Rattus norvegicus (Norway rat). The record is from RNAcentral. Lineage: Eukaryota; Metazoa; Chordata; Mammalia; Rodentia; Muridae.
UNGAUAUUGCUUUGAAUUGGUGACCUUUA